RNAcentral lists this ribosomal RNA (216 nucleotides) under Glomeromycotina sp. RNAcentral's name for it is "partial small subunit ribosomal RNA". The stretch from base 40 to 216 matches the Rfam family "Eukaryotic small subunit ribosomal RNA", at positions 686 to 864 of the family's 1831-position model. Lineage: Eukaryota; Fungi; Glomeromycota. The record is from RNAcentral.
GGGUCAGUAGGUUGGUCGUGCCACCGGUACGUACUGGUCUCACUGAUUCCUCCUUCCUGAAGAACCGUAAUGCCAUUAAUUUGGUGUUGCGGGGAAACAGGACUGUUACUUUGAAAAAAUUAGAGUGUUUAAAGCAAGCUAACGCUUGAAUACAUUACCAUGGAAUAAUGAAAUAGGACGAUCGAUCCUAUUUUGUUGGUUUCUAGGAUUGACGUA